GAUGAACGCUGGCGGCGUGCUUAACACAUGCAAGUCGAGCGGUAAGGCCCUUUCGGGGGUACACGAGCGGCGAACGGGUGAGUAACACGUGGGUGACCUGCUCCCUGCCCUGGGAUAAGCCUGGGAAACUGGGUCUAAUACCGGAUAUGCCCUCUUGUUGCAGUACAGGUGGUGGAAAGUUUUUUCGGUGGGGGAUGGGCCCGCGGCCUAUCAGCUUGUUGGUGGGGUGAUGGCCUACCAAGGCGACGACGGGUAGCCGGCCUGAGAGGGCGACCGGCCACCCUGGGACUGAGACACGGCCCAGACUCCUACGGGAGGCAGCAGUGGGGAAUAUUGCGCAAGGGGCGGAAGCCUGACGCAGCGACGCCGCGUGGGGGAUUACGGCCUUCGGGUUGUAAACCUCUUUCGGCCCCGACGAAGCGAACAGUGACGGUAGGGGUAGAAGAAGCACCGGCCAACUACGUGCCAGCCGCCGCUGUAA
Molecule: ribosomal RNA, 481 nt
Filed under: uncultured bacterium
Lineage: Bacteria
Description: partial 16S ribosomal RNA
Rfam family: Bacterial small subunit ribosomal RNA
Source: RNAcentral